Molecule: long non-coding RNA, 2738 nt
Organism: Siniperca chuatsi (mandarin fish)
Lineage: Eukaryota; Metazoa; Chordata; Actinopteri; Centrarchiformes; Sinipercidae
Exons: 4
Source: RefSeq, a predicted model, not a curated record
UGUAACAAAGAAUAAAGUUAUUUGUCCUCCGGUGGGGUAGGAUAGGAGGUCUGUUAAAAUUAAAUCUAAGGGGGAAAAAAAUUGAGAAAAAUUAGAAGCAUACAGGAUAAUAGUGUGCAUUGUCCAACACUCUUUAACACAAUCAAAUAUAUUUUAAAAUCAAAUGGAGUCUAAUGUAACAUACGUAGUCUAGUCUUGGAAGUGAAGAAUGAGAAGAAUACAAUACAAUCAAAUCCAGUACUAGAAUUUAAUAGUUAAAUGAAAUUAAAUCUGAUCUAAUGUAAUGUAACGACUCAAAAGAUUUGGUCUAGGCAGCAAUCCUGACUGACUGCUACUUUUGCACUGUGGAGAUCGUCCUGGCAGGAAGAAUCACAGUAUGAUAUGGCAACUUGACUCAUAAGUGGCUAGAAACAUCAAAUGAAGGGACCUGCACUCACUCAACGCUGCCUCAGGAAACCUAAACCAUCCAGGUCACUACCUACUCUCUUUCCUGCGAUCUGGUAAAUGCUAUUGGAGCAUCACCAUGUUACGGACAGAACAACCGGAGACAACGAUGAGGAGACUGAGAGAGUUUAUUAUAAAAAAGAGGUAAUAUGGAAUGGAAAUGAUACUGUCCCUUAAUUCGCUGAUGGUCGAAGGGUUUGGGAACUGGAGCGACACACUCAGGAGACCGGAGAUUACUGGAGUCGGGAUUCGAUGAUCGGGGUUCAAAGUGGCGGUAGCCUUGACGUAACGUCGUGGGUGAGUCCGUGAAGUGUUCGAAGGUAGGUAGCGUAGCUCUGUCCUUCAUAUGAACGAGACCGGACCCAGACUGAGGUGAGGAGUGGGAAUUUAUGGAGGAGUAGAGUGGCUGAUUAAGUUCAGGUGUGUGAUGGGUGACAGGUGCUGGGAAUCAAUAUGCAGGUGAGGGAGUGCAGAGUGAAGGGGAGUGGUUGGAGAGAACAUGACAGACUGUGACACACCACAUAUACCACUCGGUGUGGAGACAGUUUGUUCCCACAGGCAGUUAGACGGUUACACACACGCUCAUUCACACACAUGUUCUACGAAGACUGAUGCAACAUAAUUUCAUUGUGUUUAUUUUUUGUACUUAGUAUGCACCAUUCAUAUUGUAUAAUAUGAAUACUGUUGGGUGUCUAUUCCAUAUGUUAGUGACAUUUUUCUAUAUAUUGUAUGUUUUUUUAAUUUUGGUUUUGUAGUUUCCUGCAUUGAGACCACAAAUAUUGGUGUGGUUGAGAGAUAUUGUAGUCUAUAUGUUACCUAACCAAAUAUAUUUUCGCAUAAGGUGAUGACAAGUUACACAGUAAUCAUAUCUAUGGCAACACUGAUCAAACAUUCAUAUAAGUUGGGGAAUAAAAAGAAUGACAUAUACACAAAAUAUUUUCUACCCCUUCCAAAACCCCAUCUCCCUUCAAACACAAAAUUGCUUAUCUGUCUGUCAAUUGGAUGUAGCUACACAUUUGUUAAAAUGAUACAUAUUGUGAAGUAGAUCUCAGUUUUUGAGUACAAUUACAUAUAAAUGAAAAAAAGAACAAAACGAGAAAUCUGAAACACAGGGAAGGUAAUUUAAACAUUGUGCUACCUAAAAAAAAAAAGUAAAACCACUACUGUUCCCUCAAAUUGCUUAUUUUAAUAUAGCACAAUUAUGUAAAAUCACCACAUUUUUUUGUAAAAAAAAGAGUAUCAAACGUAAUAAAACAAUAGCCUGACAUGAGUAACAUAUAAACAUAUAUAUAUAUGGAAAUAUGUUAUUUAUUGUUGAAUUCACAGAUAAUCAUGUAAAUAAAUAAAAGUGUUAUUUUCAAAUUACAUUAUUUCCUUUUUAAACAAAACCCCAGUAUCUUGUGCCAAUAGGGCCUAUGCCUAAAUUUGUUAUUGUUGAAGCAGACUUAAGCAGAAAUAGCAUCAUAACCUGCUGUGCAGGGAUGCUUUAAUUGCUGCUAGUCACAGGCAGAGAAGCUAGCUAGAUAACUUUAAACUUGUCAUGCUUUGGAAAUGGUUGACAGCUUUGGUAGCAACUAUUGCUUAUUUUGUCGCUAACAUCAAAUAGCAUCACUUCUACGAAUGAAAAAAACGGAAGUGGAGAAUUCAAACUACAGAGAAAAAGACAAGAGUUUAGGCUAUUGUUGUACAGCUGAAGUUCAAGUAACGUUAACGUUACUAAUCUACCCUAACGUUAGUUAGCUGGCUAACAUUUUAUAGAGGUGACUGCUGAGGUCAGAACACUCUUAAGAUCCAUUUAAAACACAGCCCACAUAAAGGCUGGGGUUAAAAACUGGGUUCAUUCGGGAUUUCAACCCAGGACCUCUCACACCCACAGCGAGAAUCAUACCCCUAGACCAACGAGUCAGUUGACAUCAUCACUCACAGCUGUACCAUCAGACUGCAGACCUGAAGUUAAACUCUACACUUGUGAUGUGGCAGCUUGAAGACCUAUAUGUUACUUGACAUCAGAUUUCUCAAGGUGAUAAGAGCCUGGACCAUUCCUGAUGUUGUGGAGGAUGAAUCUGCAGGAGCCGGCUGCUGCGGCGAUGUUGGCAGGGAAGGACAGCUGGUUAUCUUUUUUUCAUCUGCAUGUCUUCCAACUGGUCAUCACUCUUCUAUGCUUUGGCAAGAAGUGACGGCAGAGACAUGAAUGCAAACAAAGUCUAAGGAGCUGAUUGUGGAUCUACGGAGGGCCAAGGCACCAGCGACCCCGGUUUCCAUCCAGGGGGUCAGUGUGGAGGACUACAAGUACC